GACGUAGGGCGCGAGCGUUGUCCGGAUUUAUUGGGCGUAAAGGGCUCGUAGGCGGUUGAUUGCGUCCGCCGUGAAAGGCCUCGGCUUAGCCGGGGUUUUGCGGUGGAUACGGGUCGACUUGAGGCAAUUAGGGGAGAUCGGAAUUCUACGUGUAGCGGUGAAAUGCGCAGAUAUGUGGAGGAACACCGGUGGCGAAGGCGGAUCUCUGGGAUUGUUCUGACGCUGAGGAGCGAAAGCGUGGGGAGCGAACAGG
This 253-nucleotide ribosomal RNA is filed under the name uncultured bacterium. Its description in RNAcentral is "partial 16S ribosomal RNA". It matches the Rfam family "Bacterial small subunit ribosomal RNA", at positions 524 to 776 of the family's 1533-position model. The record is from RNAcentral.